RNAcentral lists this ribosomal RNA (112 nucleotides) under Caerostris darwini. Lineage: Eukaryota; Metazoa; Arthropoda; Arachnida; Araneae; Araneidae. The record is from RNAcentral.
AACGGCCGUACCAUGCUGAAUAUACCGGUUCUCGUUAGAUCACCGAAGUUAAGCAUCAUUGGGCGCGGUCAGUACGUGGGUGGGUGACCACCUGGGAACACUGCGUGCCGUU